AUUAAGUUUAUUUUUCAGUUUUAGAUACAAUGUUUUGACUCUUCGUCUUAUUUGAAUUUUCUUUAUGAUUAAUAUUUUUAUUGUUACUAGAUGCUAAAACAUGAAUAGUAACUUUAUGUGUGACUAAUUUUUUUAAAGUUUUUUACAAAUUUUUUAAAUAAGGCAAAAUGGUCAAACGGUUCGAAAAAUAAAG
Molecule: microRNA precursor, 193 nt
Filed under: Oryza brachyantha (malo sina)
Lineage: Eukaryota; Viridiplantae; Streptophyta; Magnoliopsida; Poales; Poaceae
Description: MIR812 microRNA precursor family
Rfam family: MIR812 microRNA precursor family
Source: Rfam by way of RNAcentral